CUUUGAAGCAGGGGAGUGCUGUGACUCCUGGCAUACACAAGUUCAGGGCACAUUUAUUGUAGAUUUCUGCACUCUGAGCACACGAACACUAAAUUCAGCUGGCAGCUCCUAGAAGGGAAUGAAUAGAGCUAAGAACUUCUCUUCAGUUAUUGACACUUCGUGAGUGGAAUAAAGUUCAGUAUCUCAGUGCCAGUAUGAUUGUAUUCACAUUACGAGACAUGAGCAGAGUUUUGGC
Passer domesticus (house sparrow) is the source of this 235-nucleotide long non-coding RNA. RefSeq lists it as uncharacterized. Lineage: Eukaryota; Metazoa; Chordata; Aves; Passeriformes; Passeridae. The record is from RefSeq and is a predicted model, not a curated record. The transcript has 3 exons.